ACGGAAGGCAGCAGUGGGGAAUAUUGGGCAAUGGGCGAAAGCCUGACCCAGCAACGCCGCGUGAAGGAAGAAGGCCUUCGGGUUGUAAACUUCUUUUAUCAGGGACGAAGAACGUGACGGUACCUGAUGAAUAAGCCACGGCUAACUACGUGCCAGCAGCCGCGGUAAUACGUAGGUGGCAAGCGUUAUCCGGAUUUACUGGGUGUAAAGGGCGCGUAGGCGGGGAUGCAAGUCAGGUGUGAAAUCUAUGGGCCUAACCCAUAAACUGCAUUUGAAACUGUAUCUCUUGAGUGUCGGAGAGGUAGAUGGAAUUCCUAGUGUAGCGGUGAAAUGCGUAGAUAUUAGGAGGAACACCAGUGGCGGAGGCGGUUUACUGGACGACAACUGACGCUGAGACACGAAAGCGUGGGGAGCAAACAGGAUUAGAUACCCUGGUA
RNAcentral lists this ribosomal RNA (437 nucleotides) under uncultured Clostridium sp. RNAcentral describes it as "partial 16S ribosomal RNA". It matches the Rfam family "Bacterial small subunit ribosomal RNA", at positions 341 to 792 of the family's 1533-position model. The record is from RNAcentral. Lineage: Bacteria; Bacillati; Bacillota; Clostridia; Eubacteriales; Clostridiaceae.